Molecule: ribosomal RNA, 497 nt
Filed under: uncultured bacterium
Lineage: Bacteria
Description: partial 16S ribosomal RNA
Rfam family: Bacterial small subunit ribosomal RNA
Source: RNAcentral
GAUGAACGCUGGCGGCGUGCCUAAUACAUGCAAGUCGAGCGAACAGACGAGGAGCUUGCUCCUCUGACGUUAGCGGCGGACGGGUGAGUAACACGUGGAUAACCUACCUAUAAGACUGGGAUAACUUCGGGAAACCGGAGCUAAUACCGGAUAACAUGUUGAACCGCAUGGUUCAACAGUGAAAGACGGUCUUGCUGUCACUUAUAGAUGGAUCCGCGCCGCAUUAGCUAGUUGGUAAGGUAACGGCUUACCAAGGCAACGAUGCGUAGCCGACCUGAGAGGGUGAUCGGCCACACUGGAACUGAGACACGGUCCAGACUCCUACGGGAAGCAGCAGUAGGGAAUCUUCCGGAAUGGGCGAAAGCCUGACGGAGCAACGCCGCGUGAGUGAUGAAGGUCUUCGGAUCGUAAAACUCUGUUAUUAGGGAAGAACAAAUGUGUAAGUAACUAUGCACGUCUUGACGGUAACUAAUCAGAAAGCCACGGCUAACUACGUG